RNAcentral lists this ribosomal RNA (389 nucleotides) under uncultured bacterium. RNAcentral describes it as "partial 16S ribosomal RNA". It matches the Rfam family "Bacterial small subunit ribosomal RNA", at positions 523 to 914 of the family's 1533-position model. The record is from RNAcentral.
AUACGGAGGAUGCGAGCGUUAUCCGGAUUUAUUGGGUUUAAAGGGAGCGCAGGCGGAGAUGCAAGCGUGACGUCAAAUUUCGGGGCUCAACCCCGUCUCGCGUCGCGAACUGCGUCCCUUGGUUGCGGGAAGGGGAGGCGGAACUCGGGGUGGAGCGGGGAAAUGCAUAGAUAUCACGAAGAACUCCGAUCGCGAAGGCAGCCUUCCGGCCCGUCAACGACGCUCAUGCUCGAAGGUGCGGGUAUCAAACAGGAUUAGAUACCCUGGUAGUCCGCACAGUAAACGAUGGACACCCGCGGUUUGGCCUGUAUGGCUGAGCCGCCAAGCGAAAGCGUUAAGUGUCCCACCCGGGGAGUACGCCGGCAACGGUGAAACUCAAAUGAAUUGAC